AUUUUUUUCAAGGAUGAGCUUUGCCAGCUCCAUGUGGAAGGCCCUAAAGCUCCUCCUUCCACUUCGAAGCAUGACUGAUGCCUCCAGGGCCUCACAGCCACUUCUGAAGCACUUCCUGAAAGCCAGCUCCACCCUGGCUAGGCCCUGACCUCGGCAGACCCAAGCCCAGGACGAUGCCUGUUGCGUUCUUCUCCCCGCUGUAGCAAGUCACCUUCCCCAGCAGCCACCAUGUUGUCUGGGCUCUCCCUGUGGGGGAUGCCAGGGGAAAGUGAGAGAGCAGAGGUGGCCAAGAUGGCAUGUGCUGCCUUCUCUCCUGGAACAUGCUGCUUCCACAUGGCAGUGCCAGUGUCUCCGUGUGAAUUCAUUGAUUGUGGCUUGAGCGAAUUCCUGGGUUUGCUGUUCCAGAUGAUUCUGCAGGGCUUCAAAACCAGCAGAGCCCUGAGCAAAGCAGCUCCUUGUUCUCAUGGGCUGAACUCAUCAUGAUGUCCCUGGCUAAGGGGGGCAGCAUGGGGUCCAGCCCGGCCCAGGCACAUGGAGCUGCAGUCCUGUCAGGCUGAGUGUGGUGUUUGCCUUCUAGGAUGGCCCCCGAGGCCGCCAGUUCCAGACAGGGUCUGUCACCCAAAGACAUCCAUGCUGAGUCACCCAAAGACAUCCAUGCUGAAUCCAUCCCUCUGCCAUUCUGCCUUGCCCGACCCUCUGCCAUUCUGCCUUGCCCAGCCCUCUGCCAUUCUACAUUACGCCUGAUUUUUGGAAGUGUUGUGGUUUUGAGUGUUGGCAGCCCAGUGUCACAGAGGACCAUAUCUUAGAAAUGACCCCCCAGGCGGGAGCUGUGGCUUUCCUGUUCUAUUUGAAGACAGCUGUUUUAGGGUGCAGCGGGUCCAGGGACACAGAGUGGGCCAUGAGCAAGGGAUGGGUGCUGGGGCCUGGCAGAGAUGGCAGGCGCUGUGACCCCGGCACUUAGGAAGGGGUGGGUGCUGUGACCGUGGCACUAAAUAAGGAAGGGAUGGGCACUGUGACCCUGGCACUUAGUGAGGAAGGAGGGGUGGGCACUGUGACUCUGGCAUUUAGUGAGGAGGGGGGGGUGGGCGCUCUGACCCCGGCACUUAGUAAGGAAGGGGUGGGCACUGUGACUCUGGCAUUUAGUGAGGAAGGGGGGGUGGGCACUGUGACCCCGGCACUUAGUGAGGAAGAGGUGGGCCCUGUGACCCCAGCACUCAGGAAGGGGUGGGCACUGUGACCCCGGCACUUAGUGACCCUGUUGGAGCCUCACCUCCCAGAUCCAUAAAGCAGGGAUCAUGAAAACCAACCGCAGUCAGCAGGGCCCAUGGGGCACUCAGAUGUCAAGAAUAUGAACACGUGGCUGCUGUUCCUCCCCCUGUUCCCGGUGCAGGUGCAGACCCUGAUAGUCGUGAUCAUCGGGAUGCUCGUGCUCCUGCUGGACUUUCUUGGCUUGGUGCACCUGGGCCAGCUGCUCAUCUUCCACAUCUACCUGAGCCAAGAAGAUGACCACCUUUGAGUAUCUCAUUAAUACCCGCAAAGAAGAGAGUUCAAAACAUCCAGCAGUGAGGAAAGAUCCAUACGUGCAAAUGGACAAAGGAUUUCUCCAGCAAGGAGAUGGCGCCCUGGGCUCAUCUGCACAGGGGAAGCGGAUGAAGACCCGUAUCCAUCUGCACUUGGUGAUGGGCACCACAGGCCUGUAGCUUCUUAGGCUCUGGGAGGAGGCGCAGUGGAAAUUGAGGUCGCCGUGAGGUCGCUCCGAUGUCGCCGCACACUGUUGCUGCCUGGCUACCUUCCCAUCUCUGUCAUCAUGGAGAGUGUGGGCAGGGGACCCCUGGCCCUCUUCCUUCUUCUCCUGCCCCGGGGGGAGCAGCAGAGAGCCAAGGGGCUGGAGGAGGAGCCAAGGCCAGGAACUCCCUGCUGAUUUGCAGGCGCCUGUGUCAGUUCUCCACUCGUGUACACCCAGACGGGGGCUCGAUGGCACAGGAAGCAGAUGAUGCCCCGAGUACAUCUACACUUGGGCUGCAACAAUAAACAACAGAGCCCAUGAAAACCGACAGUGCUGAAAGUGAAGACUGAGAUUCAGGAGCUGAGCUGCCCCUGUGAUCCAGGUCUUCCACCCUGAAACCCCACCCUCCAUCAAGGUCCUGCCUGUAGAGUGUACCUUGCAAAGCCUCCUGCUCCUACCCAUGCUACAGGCCAGGAACCAGAGCCCAUCAUCUCAGAGGCCCCUGGAUGUCCUUCGAAGGAACCAGGACCCUCAGAGCCCAGCAUCCAUCUCUGUCAUCAUCUUCAUCACACCCAAAGAAGAGCCAGCCUUGCAGGAGGAUUUACAUCUCUGGGAUGAUGGGCUGCCAGCAACUGCAGAGGAUGCAGCCACCUGCUUAACUGUGCUGUCCAGCCAGCCAGCCAGCCAGCCAGCUGCAGGGCCUCUUGCUGCUUAAGAAGAGCUGAUGGGCCGGGCAUGUUGGCUCACACCUGUGAGCACAGUACUGAGAAAUGGGAGCACAGUACUGGGAAUUGGGAGCACAGUAUUGGGAAUUGGGAGCACAGUACUGGGAAAUGGAAGCACAGUACUGGGAAAUGGGGGCUCACAGCACUGCAAAAUGGGAGCACAGUACUGGGAAGUGGGAGCACAGUACUGAGAAGUGGGAGCACAGUACUGGGAAAUGGGAGUACAGGACUGAGAAAUGGGAGCACAGUACUGUGAAAUGGGAGCACAGUACUGUGAAAUGGGCAUACAGUACUGAGAAAUGGGAGCACACAGUACUGGGAAAUGGGAGCAUAGUACUGGGAAAUGGGAGCCCACAGUACUGGGAAACGGGAGCUCACAGUACUGGGAAAUGGGAGCACACAGUACUGGGAAAUGGCAGCAUAGUACUGGGAAAUGGGAGCACAGUACUGGGAAAUAGGAGCAUAGUACUGGGAAACCCCAGACCUGGAUUCUCAGUUUUUCAGCCUAGCCCAGACUUCUUAUCUUAGUAGACAAAAAGAGUCAAUACCAGAGAACCAGAAGCAUCCUCUGUAUUUUAAUGAACUCUGCAUUUUAGUCUGUUUAGUAGUCAUAUUUUAAAAGAUAAUCAGUUUUCCACAUAUAUCUAUAAGUUACUACAUGC
This 3113-nucleotide small RNA is filed under the name Pan troglodytes (chimpanzee). RNAcentral describes it as "processed transcript". Lineage: Eukaryota; Metazoa; Chordata; Mammalia; Primates; Hominidae. The record is from RNAcentral.